GACGAACGCUGGCGGCGUGCUUAACACAUGCAAGUCGAACGAAGAGCGAUGGAAGCUUGCUUCUAUCAAUCUUAGUGGCGAACGGGUGAGUAACGCGUAAUCAACCUGCCCUUCAGAGGGGGACAACAGUUGGAAACGACUGCUAAUACCGCAUACGAUCUAAUCUCGGCAUCGAGGAUAGAUGAAAGGUGGCCUCUACAUGUAAGCUAUCACUGAAGGAGGGGAUUGCGUCUGAUUAGCUAGUUGGAGGGGUAACGGCCCACCAAGGCGAUGAUCAGUAGCCGGUCGGAGAGGAUGAACGGCCACAUUGGGACGGAGACACGGCCCAGACUCCUACGGGAGGCAGCAGUGGGGAAUCUUCCGCAAUGGACGAAAGUCUGACGGAGCAACGCCGCGUGAGUGAUGACGGCCUUCGGGUUGUAAAGCUCUGUUAAUCGGGACGAAAGGCCUUCUUGCGAAUAGUGAGAAGGAUUGACGGUACCGGAAGAGAAAGCCACGGCUAACUACGUG
RNAcentral lists this ribosomal RNA (510 nucleotides) under uncultured bacterium. RNAcentral describes it as "partial 16S ribosomal RNA". It matches the Rfam family "Bacterial small subunit ribosomal RNA", at positions 28 to 507 of the family's 1533-position model. The record is from RNAcentral.